This 207-nucleotide ribosomal RNA is filed under the name uncultured bacterium. RNAcentral describes it as "partial 16S ribosomal RNA". It matches the Rfam family "Bacterial small subunit ribosomal RNA", at positions 568 to 774 of the family's 1533-position model. The record is from RNAcentral.
UGCGUAGGUGGUUAUUUAAGUUAUCUGUGAAAUACCUGGGCUCAACCUGGGCAGGUCAGAUAAGACUGGAUGACUAGAGUAUAGGAGAGGGUAGUGGAAUUUCCGGUGUAGCGGUGAAAUGCGUAGAGAUCGGAAGGAACACCAGUGGCGAAGGCGGCUACCUGGCCUAAUACUGACACUGAGGCACGAAAGCGUGGGAGGCAAACA